CUAAGUUUGAUGGCGACCGGCGCACGGGUGAGUAACACGUAUCCAACCUGCCGAUGACUCGGGGAAAGCCUUUCGAAAGAAAGAUUAAUACCCGAUGGCAUAGUUCUUCCGCAUGGUGGAACUAUUAAAGAAUUUCGGUCAUCGAUGGGGAUGCGUUCCAUUAGGUAGUUGGCGGGGUAACGGCCCACCAAGCCUUCGAUGGAUAGGGGUUCUGAGAGGAAGGUCCCCCACAUUGGAACUGAGACACGGUCCAAACUCCUACGGGAGGCAGCAUG
Molecule: ribosomal RNA, 275 nt
Filed under: uncultured bacterium
Lineage: Bacteria
Description: partial 16S ribosomal RNA
Rfam family: Bacterial small subunit ribosomal RNA
Source: RNAcentral